GGAAUUUUUGGCAAUGGGCGAAAGCCUGACCAAGCAACGCCGCGUGGGUGAUGAAAUACUUUGGUAUGUAAAACCCUUUCGGCAGGGACGAAUUCUUGACGGUACCUGCGGAAGAAGCCCCGGCUAACUCCGUGCCAGCAGCCGCGGUAAUACGGGGGGGGCAAGCGUUGUUCGGAAUUACUGGGCGUAAAGGGCGCGUAGGCGGUUGGAUAAGUCAGCUGUGAAAACCUCGGGCUUAACUCGAGGCCUGCAGUUGAAACUGUCUGGCUAGAGUGUGGGAGAGGAGAGUGGAAUUCCUGGUGUAGCGGUGAAAUGCGUAGAUAUCAGGAGGAACACCGGUGGCGAAGGCGGCUCUCUGGACCACAACUGACGCUGAGGCGCGAAAGCUAGGGGAGCA
RNAcentral lists this ribosomal RNA (397 nucleotides) under uncultured bacterium. Its description in RNAcentral is "bacterial SSU rRNA". It matches the Rfam family "Bacterial small subunit ribosomal RNA", at positions 358 to 770 of the family's 1533-position model. The record is from RNAcentral.